RNAcentral lists this ribosomal RNA (500 nucleotides) under Hanseniaspora uvarum. RNAcentral describes it as "partial large subunit ribosomal RNA". It matches the Rfam family "Eukaryotic large subunit ribosomal RNA", at positions 98 to 600 of the family's 3401-position model. Lineage: Eukaryota; Fungi; Ascomycota; Saccharomycetes; Saccharomycodales; Saccharomycodaceae. The record is from RNAcentral.
GCGGUAAAAGCUCAAAUUUGAAAUCUGGUACUUUCAGUGCCCGAGUUGUAAUUUGUAGAAUUUGUCUUUGAUUAGGUCCUUGUCUAUGUUCCUUGGAACAGGACGUCAUAGAGGGUGAGAAUCCCGUUUGGCGAGGAUACCUUUUCUCUGUAAGACUUUUUCGAAGAGUCGAGUUGUUUGGGAAUGCAGCUCAAAGUGGGUGGUAAAUUCCAUCUAAAGCUAAAUAUUGGCGAGAGACCGAUAGCGAACAAGUACAGUGAUGGAAAGAUGAAAAGAACUUUGAAAAGAGAGUGAAAAAGUACGUGAAAUUGUUGAAAGGGAAGGGCAUUUGAUCAGACAUGGUGUUUUUUGCAUGCACUCGCCUCUCGUGGGCUUGGGCCUCUCAAAAAUUUCACUGGGCCAACAUCAAUUCUGGCAGCAGGAUAAAUCAUUAAGAAUGUAGCUACUUCGGUAGUGUUAUAGCUUUUUGGAAUACUGUUAGCCGGGAUUGAGGACUGCGC